Molecule: ribosomal RNA, 440 nt
Filed under: uncultured bacterium
Lineage: Bacteria
Description: partial 16S ribosomal RNA
Rfam family: Bacterial small subunit ribosomal RNA
Source: RNAcentral
CCUACGGGAGGCAGCAGUGGGGAAUAUUGCACAAUGGGGGAAACCCUGAUGCAGCGACGCCGCGUGAGUGAAGAAGUAAUUCGUUAUGUAAAGCUCUAUCAGCAGGGAAGAAAAUGACGGUACCUGAGUAAGAAGCCUCGGCUAACUACGUGCCAGCAGCCGCGGUAAUACGGAGGGGGCAAGCGUUAUCCGGAUUUACUGGGUGUUAAGGGAGCGUAGGCGGGAGUGCAAGUCUGGAGUGUUAGGCGGGGGCUCAACCCCCGGACUGCUCUGGAAACUGUAUUGCUUGAGUGCAGGAGAGGUAAGUGGAAGUCCUAGUGUAGCGGUGAAAUGCGUAGAGAUUAGGAGGAACACCAGUGGCGAAGGCGGCUUACUGGACUGUAACUGACGUUGAGGCUCGAAAGCGUGGGGAGCAAACAGGAUUAGAUACCCGAGUAGUC